RNAcentral lists this ribosomal RNA (484 nucleotides) under uncultured bacterium. RNAcentral's name for it is "partial 16S ribosomal RNA". It matches the Rfam family "Bacterial small subunit ribosomal RNA", at positions 29 to 523 of the family's 1533-position model. The record is from RNAcentral.
AGUGAACGCUGGCGGCGUGCUUAACACAUGCAAGUCGAACGAGAACGGAUUAUAGCUUUCUAUAAUUGUCAGCUAAGUGGCGCACGGGUGAGUAAUGUAUAGGUAAUAUGCCUCUUACUAAGGGAUAACAAAUGGAAACGUUUGCUAAUACCUUAUACUCCUUAUUAACAUAAGUUAAUAAGGGAAAGAUUUAUUGGUAAGAGAUUAGCCUGUAUUGUAUCAGUUAGUUGGUGGGGUAAUGGCUUACCAAGACUAUGACACAUAACUGGUUUGAGAGGAUGAUCAGUCACAAUGGAACUGAGACACGGUCCAGACUCCUACGGGAGGCAGCAGUGGGGAAUAUUGCACAAUGGACGAAAGUCUGAUGCAGCAACGCCGCGUGGAGGAUGACACAUUUCGGUGCGUAAACUCCUUUUAUAUGAGAAGAUAAUGACGGUAUUAUAUGAAUAAGCACCGGCUAACUCCGUGCCAGCAGCCGCGGUAA